AACAUUUGGAAACAGAUGCUAAUACCGCAUAACAACAAAAGCCGCAUGGCUUUUGUUUGAAAGAUGGCUUUGGCUAUCACUCUGGGAUGGACCUGCGGUGCAUUAGCUAGUUGGUAAGGUAACGGCUUACCAAGGCGAUGAUGCAUAGCCGAGUUGAGAGACUGAUCGGCCACAAUGGAACUGAGACACGGUCCAUACUCCUACGGGAGGCAGCAGUAGGGAAUCUUCCACAAUGGGCGCAAGCCUGAUGGAGCAACACCGCGUGAGUGAAGAAGGGUUUCGGCUCGUAAAGCUCUGUUGUUGGAGAAGAACGUGCGUGAGAGUAACUGUUCACGCAGUGACGGUAUCCAACCAGAAAGUCACGGCUAACUACGUGCCAGCAGCCGCGGUAAUACGUAGGUGGCAAGCGUUAUCCGGAUUUAUUGGGCGUAAAGCGAGCGCAGGCGGUUGCUUAGGUCUGAUGUGAAAGCCUUCGGCUUAACCGAAGAAGUGCAUCGGAAACCGGGCGACUUGAGUGCAGAAGAGGACAGUGGAACUCCAUGUGUAGCGGUGGAAUGCGUAGAUAUAUGGAAGAACACCAGUGGCGAAGGCGGCUGUCUGGUCUGCAACUGACGCUGAGGCUCGAAAGCAUGGGUAGCGAACAGGAUUAGAUACCCUGGUAGUCCAUGCCGUAAACGAUGAGUGCUAGGUGUUGGAGGGUUUCCGCCCUUCAGUGCCGGAGCUAACGCAUUAAGCACUCCGCCUGGGGAGUACGACCGCAAGGUUGAAACUCAAAGGAAUUGACGGGGGCCCGCACAAGCGGUGGAGCAUGUGGUUUAAUUCGAAGCUACGCGAAGAACCUUACCAGGUCUUGACAUCUUGCGCUAACCUUAAAAAAUAAGGCGUUCCCUUCGGGGAACCCAAUGACAGGGGGUGCAUGGGUCCUCCUCACCCUNCNGUCCCGGGAAAUUUUGGG
Molecule: ribosomal RNA, 955 nt
Filed under: Limosilactobacillus reuteri
Lineage: Bacteria; Bacillati; Bacillota; Bacilli; Lactobacillales; Lactobacillaceae
Description: bacterial SSU rRNA
Rfam family: Bacterial small subunit ribosomal RNA
Source: RNAcentral